UAUCUGUGUCAUUCACUCCCACCUGAAACCAGAUAAUGUAAUGCUGGAUAAACCACGAGAACCGUCCCUUCAGAGUCAAACUUUUUGACGUGUCCUUCACUACCUCUGAACAAACACGUUUACCCAUUCAGCCUCUGGGUUACAGGGAAUACCAGCUGGCAAUUGGCAUUGAGCCUAAAAGAUGGGUGAGGUCUGUCAGUUCCCUGGAUGAGCAGAUAACACUCUACCCAGAGAUACAGGAGUCCAUUGAGAUGGAGGACCACAGAUCGUUCGUGAGCCUCCUGAAAUGUCUCCUACAUAUGGACCCUGAGCAUAGAAUCACUCAUGAGGAGGCUCUAAAGCACCUGUUCGUCUCCAUGGUCCACCUAGAGGAUGAGAGGGACAGCUUGUAUGUGGACGACUCCCUCGAUAAAAUGAUGGUUGGCUAGAUGGAUGACUUGGAGGAGGAACUAACACCUGACAAACCAAAGAUAUUCUUUUACUGAAGAUGGAAGAUCCAUCGUGACAGGAAAUAGUGGGUUUUUAUAGAAAAUGUAGUUUCUGCUAGUUUUUUAUUCUUGGGAAGAUUUGGACCAGACCCUUUUUUUGGUAACCAUGUUUUCAGAGUACUACAACAGUUUUUUUGAGCAGACUUAUGUUAAAUAGUUUUCUAAUUAUUGCUUGUCCACUGAAAUGUGUCACAUUAUGUAGGUAAUCAGUCAUGUAUGUCAUGGUCCUAGAGAGGAAAACAGUGGUUGCAGCUUUAGCCUGGCAUCUUCUGACUUCCCACAUCCUGAUAGUUUCCUCCCUGUGAGGAAAAUGAAAGGCUUGUUUAAAUAUAGAAGCAGUUUGAUAGUUUAAUUGGCCUACAUGAUGUUUUGUUGCAACUUAUAAUGUUGAAAAUAGAUGUAUUUAAGUGUGCUCCAC
This is a long non-coding RNA of Siniperca chuatsi (mandarin fish), 906 nucleotides long. RefSeq lists it as uncharacterized. The record is from RefSeq and is a predicted model, not a curated record. NCBI's taxonomy places the organism in Eukaryota, Metazoa, Chordata, Actinopteri, Centrarchiformes, Sinipercidae. The transcript is spliced from 4 exons.